GAUGAAGAACGUAGCGAAAUGCGAUAAGUAGUGUGAAUUGCAGAAUUCAGUGAAUCAUCGAAUCUUUGAACGCACAUUGCGCCCUUUGGUAUUCCUUAGGGCAUGCCUGUUCGAGCGUCAUUUAAACCUUCAAGCUCAGCUUGGUGUUGGGUGACUGUCCGCUUCACCGCGGACUCGCCUCAAAAUUAUUGGCGGCCGGUACAUUGGCUCUCGAGCGCAGCAGAAACGCGUAACUCGAGGUCCUCGUGCUGGCUCCCAGAAGCUAUCUUCACAAUUUUGACCUCGGAUCAGGUAGGGAUACCCGCUGAACUUAAGCAUAUCAAUAAGCGGAGA
This 333-nucleotide unclassified non-coding RNA is filed under the name soil metagenome. RNAcentral describes it as "partial contains 5.8S ribosomal RNA, internal transcribed spacer 2, and large subunit ribosomal RNA". The stretch from base 1 to 120 matches the Rfam family "5.8S ribosomal RNA", at positions 35 to 154 of the family's 154-position model. The record is from RNAcentral.